This 70-nucleotide transfer RNA is filed under the name Microhyla heymonsi (Taiwan rice frog). RNAcentral's name for it is "tRNA-Arg". It matches the Rfam family "tRNA". Rfam says of the family: Transfer RNA (tRNA) molecules are approximately 80 nucleotides in length. The record is from RNAcentral. Lineage: Eukaryota; Metazoa; Chordata; Amphibia; Anura; Microhylidae.
GAGGGCCUAGUCUAAUUUAAGACAGCUGAUUUCGGCUCAUCUAAUUAUGGUUUAAACCCAUAGUCCCUCU